CUGCUUAUGGUGUAAGGUCUUAAACACGUUAGUUUUUCGUUCUAAAAAUACAAUGGUUAACUUGUUGAGCAGU
This 73-nucleotide transfer RNA is filed under the name Iwatanemertes piperata. RNAcentral's name for it is "tRNA-Glu". Lineage: Eukaryota; Metazoa; Nemertea; Pilidiophora; Heteronemertea; Lineidae. The record is from RNAcentral.